Molecule: ribosomal RNA, 253 nt
Filed under: uncultured bacterium
Lineage: Bacteria
Description: partial 16S ribosomal RNA
Rfam family: Bacterial small subunit ribosomal RNA
Source: RNAcentral
UACGUAGGGUGCUAGCGUUGUUCGGAAUCAUUGGGCGUAAAGCGCGUGUAGGCGGUUAGUUAAGUCGGGUGUGAAAUCCCUGGGCUCAACCGAGGAAGUGCAUCCGAAACUAAUUAGCUAGAGAAUGGUAGAGGGAGGUGGAAUUCCGUGUGUAGAGGUGAAAUUCGUAGAUAUACGGAGGAAUACCGGUGGCGAAGGCGGCCUCCUGGACCAUUUCUGACGCUGAGACGCGAAAGCGUGGGGAGCAAACAGG